Molecule: ribosomal RNA, 485 nt
Filed under: uncultured Gammaproteobacteria bacterium
Lineage: Bacteria; Pseudomonadati; Pseudomonadota; Gammaproteobacteria
Description: bacterial SSU rRNA
Rfam family: Bacterial small subunit ribosomal RNA
Source: RNAcentral
ACGGGAAGAAAUCAUCCGGGUUAAUACCCUGGGUGGAUGACGGUACCGUAAGAAUAAGCACCGGCUAACUUCGUGCCAGCAGCCGCGGUAAUACGAAGGGUGCAAGCGUUAAUCGGAAUUACUGGGCGUAAAGCGUGCGUAGGUGGUUGUUCAAGUCUGUCGUGAAAGCCCUGGGCUCAACCUGGGAAUGGCGAUGGAAACUGGGCGACUGGAGUGCGGUAGAGGAUGGCGGAAUUCCCGGUGUAGCGGUGAAAUGCGUAGAGAUCGGGAGGAACAUCCGUGGCGAAGGCGGCCAUCUGGACCAGCACUGACACUGAGGCACGAAAGCGUGGGGAGCAAACAGGAUUAGAUACCCUGGUAGUCCACGCCCUAAACGAUGCGAACUGGAUGUUGGUCUCAACUUGGAGAUCAGUGUCGAAGCUAACGCGUUAAGUUCGCCGCCUGGGGAGUACGGUCGCAAGACUGAAACUCAAAGGAAUUGACGG